AUGGAUCCGGUGACCUCUGAGCAUUUCGCGAUCUCCGCGCCGAAGCCAUUCAAGAACCUCCGACGAAUGCCGCACUCCCGACACAGUACCGCCGUCGAUUCACCACCGCGUGGACGACCCUAUUUCGACGAACCCGCAACGACACAUCGAACCACCACUCACAGUCGCGGAUCCAUGCACGACUACCGCGAACCUCCGCAGCUCACGAAACUCCUCCGCGAGCACCCCAAGUUUCUCCGAUCUGCAACCUUUCCGUGA
Non-coding RNA from Vicia faba (fava bean), 258 nucleotides. NCBI's taxonomy places the organism in Eukaryota, Viridiplantae, Streptophyta, Magnoliopsida, Fabales, Fabaceae. The record is from the annotation of a GenBank genome assembly.